Molecule: ribosomal RNA, 486 nt
Filed under: uncultured Paracoccaceae bacterium
Lineage: Bacteria; Pseudomonadati; Pseudomonadota; Alphaproteobacteria; Rhodobacterales; Paracoccaceae
Description: bacterial SSU rRNA
Rfam family: Bacterial small subunit ribosomal RNA
Source: RNAcentral
UGGGGAAUCUUGGACAAUGGGCGCAAGCCUGAUCCAGCCAUGCCGCGUGAGUGAUGAAGGCCUUAGGGUCGUAAAGCUCUUUCGCCAGGGAUGAUAAUGACAGUACCUGGUAAAGAAACCCCGGCUAACUCCGUGCCAGCAGCCGCGGUAAUACGGAGGGGGUUAGCGUUGUUCGGAAUUACUGGGCGUAAAGCGCGCGUAGGCGGGUUGUUAAGUUAGAGGUGAAAUCCCGGGGCUCAACCCCGGAACUGCCUUUAAUACUGGCAACCUAGAGUUCGAGAGAGGUGAGUGGAAUUCCGAGUGUAGAGGUGAAAUUCGUAGAUAUUCGGAGGAACACCAGUGGCGAAGGCGGCUCACUGGCUCGAUACUGACGCUGAGGUGCGAAAGUGUGGGGAGCAAACAGGAUUAGAUACCCUGGUAGUCCACACCGUAAACGAUGAAUGCCAGUCGUCGGGUAGCAUGCUAUUCGGUGACACACCUAACGGA